Long non-coding RNA from Camelus dromedarius (Arabian camel), 303 nucleotides. RefSeq lists it as uncharacterized. The record is from RefSeq and is a predicted model, not a curated record. NCBI's taxonomy places the organism in Eukaryota, Metazoa, Chordata, Mammalia, Artiodactyla, Camelidae. The transcript has 3 exons.
CAGGAAGUCACUUCCUGAGCAGGAACCAAGGUGAAAACGGAUUCCCCCUUGGGGAAUUCAGCCAUUCUCCUUAGGUUACUGUCUCGAGGCGUGUGGUGUCCUGUUUGGAAGAUGUACCUGGACUUAGAAAAGGGCUGCUCUGUGACCUUGUCUGCAUCUGUCUCUGGUCCUUACCUGGACCAAGGCCACCUGCUGAAGAAGACCCAGGGCCAGGGAUACAAUGGCAACCGUGGCACAGAUUCCGGGAUGGAUUUAGAUAAACAACUUGACGGCUGAGGAGUUUUACCUGUUAUGGGACCAAGA